UACGGAGGGUGCGAGCGUUGUCCGGAAUUAUUGGGUUUAAAGGGUGCGUAGGCGGCCUUUUAAGUCAGAGGUGAAAUCCUACCGCUUAACGGUAGAACUGCCUUUGAUACUGGAAGGCUUGAGUAUAGUAGAGGUAGGCGGAAUUGAAGGUGUAGCGGUGAAAUGCAUAGAUAUCUUCAAGAACACCAAUUGCGUAGGCAGCUUACUGGACUAUAACUGACGCUGAGGCACGAAAGCAUGGGGAGCGAACAGG
This 253-nucleotide ribosomal RNA is filed under the name uncultured bacterium. Its description in RNAcentral is "partial 16S ribosomal RNA". It matches the Rfam family "Bacterial small subunit ribosomal RNA", at positions 524 to 776 of the family's 1533-position model. The record is from RNAcentral.